UGCAGAUCCGCUCACACUUCUCAUAUUCCAGCUUCAUGCGGAUCGUCCGACGGAAGAAGCCCUGAGGGACGGUGAGGAGAAUGUGGGGCUUCUCUAGGAGGAUGGCAAAAAGUUUCCAAAGCAUUUCCCCAGAUCUGACAUACAGCAGGCAUUUGGGAAAUGGCAGCUCUACUCUCCAGGACGUGUGAUGAGCACCAGCUGUGUGCAGGGUGGGAUCGGACCCUGCCCUGGACUAGCUCAGAAAGAAGAAGUGCAACUGCCUGAGGUCUUGGAGCUGAUGAGCAACAGAACAGGGGUGUGAACGGAGGCUGUCUGGCUCCAGCCCUGAACCACUCUGCUACUCUGCACCCCAUGACGUUGUUUGCAGAGGGCAUUUCCUGUUCUGCCUGCCGUGCUGCCUCCGCCCCAUGUCCCCUGCUGCGCCCUCACCUGUGUAGCUGCUGGAAGGAAGCGAGCGCUCUGGUCCUCCGUUGAGUUCUGGGCCUCCUUCUGCCUCUG
This is a long non-coding RNA of Neofelis nebulosa (Clouded leopard), 498 nucleotides long. RefSeq lists it as uncharacterized. The record is from RefSeq and is a predicted model, not a curated record. The transcript has 4 exons. NCBI's taxonomy places the organism in Eukaryota, Metazoa, Chordata, Mammalia, Carnivora, Felidae.